AACAUUCAAACUCAAGCAAAUACUUAUUUCAAACCGUCUGUAAAAUACUUAAUAAUAUAGGUUUAAUAGUUUGCAAAACAUUUCAAGGGAAAAGUAAAUACUAAGAGACUCCUCUACUCCGUCUAUCUAUGAAGCCUCAAUAGUUCAACAUGGAUGUCGAGAUAAGAACUAUGACACACUAAAAUGAUUAAACUGAAAAUAAAAGUGGAGUGAGGCUCACCAAAUGUUAACUGGAGUGCAAAGUGAUCUCAACGAAGCGCCUGUUGAUGAUCCCGAACACCUGUAUCUG
RNAcentral lists this long non-coding RNA (289 nucleotides) under Solanum tuberosum (potato). RNAcentral's name for it is "long non-coding RNA (STUB_LNC011254)". Lineage: Eukaryota; Viridiplantae; Streptophyta; Magnoliopsida; Solanales; Solanaceae. The record is from RNAcentral.